AUGCGGGCCCUCAGCCACCCCGACCCACAGCACUGCAGGCUCCAGGCCGGGGCGCCCACACCCCCUGUCCAGCUUCAGUCGGGGGCCCCGCUGCUGCUGAGGCUGGCGGAGGAGGGGCCGCCCCGGUCGUGCCUCCGCUUCUCUGCCCCUCGGCCCCCAGCCCAGCCCCAUGGGCACCCCGUGGAGACACACCCGGCCACGGCACCCGCCUGCACCCACAUGGCCUCAGGCCGGGGCCAGGCUCCUGGGGGGUCCCACAGCCCAGGCCACACACACCUGGUCCCGCCACAGCCAGACCACAGACCAGACAUGACGUGGAGGCACACGGCCGCAACCGGCGGGACAGGAAUGACUGAAACCAGCCCCACACUCUUCCCACUGAGCCUUGGGAGCGACAGCCCAGCUGGGCACGUGGUCAUCGCCUGCCUGGUCCAGGGCUUCUUCCCGCCAGAGCCACUGAAGGUGACCUGGGGCCAGAGCGGCAAGGACGUGUCCAUCAGGAACUUCCCCCCUGCUCUGGCCGGGGAUCUGUACACCAUGACCAGCCAGCUGACCGUGCCUGCCAGCCAGUGCCCAGACACCGAGUCUGUGAAAUGCCAAGUGCAGCACCUCUCCAAAUCCAGCAAAGCCGUGGACGUGCCCUGCAAAGUUCCAACUAUGCCGUGUCCGUGCAAGCCCAGGCUGACCCUGUACCCACCGGCCCUUGAGGACUUGCUCCUGGGCUCCAAUGCCAGCCUCACGUGUACGCUGAGUGGCCUGAGAGACCCCAACGGCGCCACCUUCACCUGGAACCCAACAGAUGGGAAGAACGCCAUCCAGGAGCUGCCCAAGCCUGACACCUGCGGCUGCUUCAGCGUGUCCAGCGUCCUGCCGGGCUGCACCGAUCCCUGGAAAAAGGGACAGUCCUUCUCCUGCACCGCCACCCACCCCGAGUCCAAGGGCCCGCUAACCAACACCAUCAAGAAAGCCCCAGAAAACAAGUUCCGGCCACAGGUCCACCUGCUGCCGCCGCCGUCGGAGGAGCUGGCCCUCAAUGAGCUGGUGACGCUGACAUGCCUGGUGCGGGGUUUCAGCCCCAAGGACGUGCUGCUGCGGUGGCUGCAGGGGAAUCAGGAGCUGCCCCGCGAGAAGUACCUGACCUGGAGCCCCCUGCUUGAGCCCAACCAGAGUGUGCCCACCUUCGCCGUGACCAGCGUGCUACGCGUGGACGCCGAGGUCUGGAAGCAGGGGGAGUCCUUCUCCUGCAUGGUGGGCCAUGAGUCCCUGCCCAUGGCCUUCACCCAGAAGACCAUCGACCGCCUGGCGGGUAAACCCACCCACGUGAACGUGUCCGUGGUCAUGUCGGAGGUGGACGGCGUCUGCUACUGAGCCGUGCCCCCGCCCCACCCGCUCCUUGAAUAAACUCCAUGCUCGCCUG
Kogia breviceps (pygmy sperm whale) is the source of this 1417-nucleotide non-coding RNA. The record is from the annotation of a RefSeq genome assembly. NCBI's taxonomy places the organism in Eukaryota, Metazoa, Chordata, Mammalia, Artiodactyla, Physeteridae.